AACGCGAAUAACCUUACCAGGGAUUGACAUGACGGUAGUAGUGAAGCGAAAGCGGAACGACCCUUCGGGGAGCCGUCACAGGUGAUGCAUGGCUGUCGUCAGCUCGUGCCGUGAGGUGUUUGGUUAAGUCCACUAACGAGCGCAACCCCUAGUGCCAGUUACAAGUGUCUGGCGCGACUGCCGGUAUUAAGCCGGAGGAAGGUGGGGAUGACGUCAAGUCAGCAUGUCCUUUAUACCCUGGGCGACACACACGCUACAAUGGCCAGCACACUGGGUCGCCAAGCCGUGAGGCGGAGCCAAUCCUAAAAAGCUGGUCUCAGUUCGGAUUGCAGGCUGCAACCCGCCUGCAUGAAGUCGGAGUUGCUAGUAACCGCAGGACAGCUAUACUGCGGUGAAUACGUUCCCGGGUCUUGUACACACCG
Molecule: ribosomal RNA, 422 nt
Filed under: uncultured bacterium
Lineage: Bacteria
Description: bacterial SSU rRNA
Rfam family: Bacterial small subunit ribosomal RNA
Source: RNAcentral